UGAGGAAUAUUGGGCAAUGGGCGAAAGCCUGACCCAGCCACGCCGCGUGUGUGAUGAAGGCCUUCGGGUCGUAAAGCACUGUGGGGAGGGACGAAAACGCGCAGGAGGAAAUGCCUGCGUCUUGACGGUACCUCCUUAGCAAGCACCGGCUAACUCUGUG
RNAcentral lists this ribosomal RNA (160 nucleotides) under uncultured Myxococcales bacterium. Its description in RNAcentral is "partial 16S ribosomal RNA". It matches the Rfam family "Bacterial small subunit ribosomal RNA", at positions 355 to 507 of the family's 1533-position model. The record is from RNAcentral. Lineage: Bacteria; Pseudomonadati; Myxococcota; Myxococcia; Myxococcales.